Molecule: ribosomal RNA, 108 nt
Filed under: Phlebotomus perfiliewi
Lineage: Eukaryota; Metazoa; Arthropoda; Insecta; Diptera; Psychodidae
Also listed under: 1 other name
Description: partial 5.8S ribosomal RNA
Rfam family: 5.8S ribosomal RNA
About the family: 5.8S ribosomal RNA (5.8S rRNA) is a component of the large subunit of the eukaryotic ribosome. It is transcribed by RNA polymerase I as part of the 45S precursor that also contains 18S and 28S rRNA.
Source: RNAcentral
GUGUGAACUGCAGGACACAUGAACAUCGACAUUUUGAACGCACAUUGCGGUCCAUGCUAAUGUUUAACUUGUUAAACUGCAUGGACCACGUAUGGUUGAGUGUCGUAA